Long non-coding RNA from Pelmatolapia mariae (spotted tilapia), 3227 nucleotides. RefSeq lists it as uncharacterized. The transcript has 12 exons. The record is from RefSeq and is a predicted model, not a curated record. Lineage: Eukaryota; Metazoa; Chordata; Actinopteri; Cichliformes; Cichlidae.
CUUUACAGUACUACCAAUCCGUCCGCCACCGCCAGUCCAUACUCCUCCACUUUAAUCGGUUUGUCGAAAUGCAGUCUGUUGUGAGGAUCUUCUAUUUGUGGGUCCAGUAGUCGUCACGGUGGUUGUCUCAGAAGGAAGUGAUGCCAUGUUACCCUGCUCCCUCAGCACCAGUCACAGCCUUGAACAAAAGCUCUUUGAUUGUGGGGGGAAAAAGCACCAAAUAAACAGGAGGUGUUCAUGUAUGAUGGAGGCCGUCAUUACAAUAACGGCCUUCCAGGUCAAGACGAGCACUUCAGAGGACGGGUCUCACAUUUCCCACAAGAGCUGCAGUUUGGUAACACCUCCAUCAUCAUCAGAAACACCACGGUGGCUGACAGUGGAGUCCACACCUGUUAUUUUCCACAUCUGCAGCCAGAACAAACAUUCAGCAUUAAACUUGCUGUUGGUCCAGUAGUCGUCAGAGUGAAUGUCUCAGAAGAAAGUGAUGCCAUUUUACCCUGCUCCCUCGGCACCAGUCAGAACCUUGAACAGAAGCUCUUUGAUUGUGGGGGGAAAAAGCACCAAAUAAACAGGAGGUGUUCAUGUAUGAUGGAGGCCGUCAUUACAAUAACGGCCUUCCAGGUCAAGACGAGCACUUCAGAGGACGGGUCUCACAUUUCCCACAAGAGCUGCAGUUUGGUAACACCUCCAUCAUCAUCAGAAACACCACGGUGGCUGACAGUGGAGUCCACACCUGUUAUUUUCCACAUCUGCAGCCAGAACAAACAUUCAGCAUUAAACUUGCUGUUGGUCCAGUAGUCGUCAGAGUGAAUGUCUCAGAAGAAAGUGAUGCCAUUUUACCCUGCUCCCUCGGCACCAGUCAGAACCUUGAACAGAAGCUCUUUGAUUGUGGGGGGAAAAAGCACCAAAUAAACAGGAGGUGUUCAUGUAUGAUGGAGGCCGUCAUUACAAUAACGGCCUUCCAGGUCAAGACGAGCACUUCAGAGGACGGGUCUCACAUUUCCCACAAGAGCUGCAGUUUGGUAACACCUCCAUCAUCAUCAGAAACACCACGGUGGCUGACAGUGGAGUCCACACCUGUUAUUUUCCACAUCUGCAGCCAGAACAAACAUUCAGCAUUAAACUUGCUGUUGGUCCAGUAGUCGUCAGAGUGAAUGUCUCAGAAGAAAGUGAUGCCAUUUUACCCUGCUCCCUCGGCACCAGUCAGAACCUUGAACAGAAGCUCUUUGAUUGUGGGGGGAAAAAGCACCAAAUAAACAGGAGGUGUUCAUGUAUGAUGGAGGCCGUCAUUACAAUAACGGCCUUCCAGGUCAAGACGAGCACUUCAGAGGACGGGUCUCACAUUUCCCACAAGAGCUGCAGUUUGGUAACACCUCCAUCAUCAUCAGAAACACCACGGUGGCUGACAGUGGAGUCCACACCUGUUAUUUUCCACAUCUGCAGCCAGAACAAACAUUCAGCAUUAAACUUGCUGUUGAUGGAGGAUCACUGACAGGAGCGUGGGAAGACUCCAGAAUCCACUCUGGCUGGAAUCCGGUGGAUACAGCAGUGUUUACAGAACAGUUCUCCACAGUCACUGUCCACAUGGGUCAGUGGGACCAAGCAGCACUCUGCUAAUGUGUGGACUCUGACCAGCAACAUCCAGCAAGACCCAGGCAGCGUUUUCUAUCUCCCAGCUGGAGUUUUUUGUUUGUCUGUGACUGGAGAGUCAGAUUUUUGUUGAAGCUGGAGGAACAGCCUCACACUUGCAGAGGUUAAUACACGCUACUGAUCUCUGAUGGGAGAAUCAUCACCUCUGCCAACAAAGAAGCCUGGUGGAUAUUUGUUUGCAGUCUGAUGGGACCUCAUGCUCUGCAUCUUCAAAGUGUGUCUCUUGAUUAUUAUUCAUACACAGUAAUGUGAAUUAUGCUUAUAUCUAGUAUAACUGGACCAACCUGGUGCUCUUCAUUUAUGGAGGCUGUUGAGUCUGAAUGUUGGAUGUUGUGUAUCUCGUGUUCUCUGGGCUUUGUUGUCCUCAGUCUGUUUGCAGGAUCAGAAAACAAAACCAGGAGGCCUGUAAAUGUUUCUUCUCCAAUUGGAUGAUGAUAAGACCGUGACACAGUAUGCCACCUUUAGUCUUGUGAUGAAGCAAAGCUCAGGACGAAGUAUGAUUAAAUGGUACCCACAUGUGUGCUGCUGAGAAGGAUGUACAGGGGCACCUGCAGCCAAAUCCAAGCCUCCUCAGAGCAGAGCGGCAGUUUGUGCUCACAGAUGGUGACGGUGUGGAGAGAAGGUGGUGUUUCCUCAGAAGAACCAGCAGAGUCACCAAGGGCACGAGUCCAUCUCACCACCUUGACUUGCUGACUGAUGCCCGUCUGCACUGCACAGAGGAAAUCAACUGACCGAGGAGUGUUUCUGAGUGAGGGAGAGAGGAGUCAUCAUCCAGGUAAAGUGACGUGGAUCAGUGGACACACUUGUCUCCCCUUUAAAGGAGAUACUCUUAGAGAGAGACGAUCCGAGUCAUCCCUAAAUAUGGGCAGGAUAUCAGUCUUGGACUGUCUAACCUGCCGGAGCAGCACUGAAUGACCACCACACAUGAGCAUGUUCCUGCAACAUUCAGCAGCUUUGCUUUUGUGUCAAAUGUCCAACAGCUGGAGAGGAAACUAAACCAGUGUACUGGGAUGUUUCACCAACGCGUGCCAGAUGCUGUUCCUUCAUGGUGACAUCACCAGAGACAGCCCCGCCCACGUCAGGACCUCGCCAUUGAUCAUGAUGAUUAUAAUCGGAACUAAGACUGUACAAAUCCACGACCUGAAUGUUUAGAUGCUUUCUAAUUAUUCAUGAAUACUGAGAGCCUCUUUCUGUGUUUUGUCUGUUUUGGGUUUGUUUUUUGUUUUUGUUUUUUUGUUUUUGUUUUUUUUAAACCUCAUUUGUUACUAACAAAGUUCACCAAACUCACACAGUUUACAUUCUGUAUGUUUCCAUCUUUACCAGCCACACUCUACCUGCAUUUAGAAAACAAACCUUAGAAAUCGUCGUUUUUCUCUUUUGUAAUUCAGUGAAUAUACUGCGCUGCUUCCUUUUAUUGCGUCACACAUUGCUUUAAGUUUUUCAGUGUCCAGUUAUUUUUUUUACUGCUGUUUGAAUUCUCUGUAUGUUUGACCCUGUAGACUGUUUAAUGGACUGCUUGUCUUCCUGUUUGUAACCGCCGCCUGUUUUUGACUAAAGAUUUGGAUUUCUGACUUUAA